Molecule: non-coding RNA, 25 nt
Filed under: Mus musculus (house mouse)
Lineage: Eukaryota; Metazoa; Chordata; Mammalia; Rodentia; Muridae
Source: RNAcentral
UAAACUGUUGGGUCGCCGUCGUCGG